This is a small nuclear RNA of Lethenteron reissneri (Far Eastern brook lamprey), 143 nucleotides long. RefSeq annotates it as U4 spliceosomal RNA. The record is from RefSeq and is a predicted model, not a curated record. Lineage: Eukaryota; Metazoa; Chordata; Hyperoartia; Petromyzontiformes; Petromyzontidae.
AGCUUUGCGCAGGUGGCAGUAUCGUAGCCAAUGAGGUUUAUCCGAGGCGCGAUUAUUGCUAAUUGAAAACUUUUCCCAAUACCCCCGCCACGCUGACUUGAAACACAGUCGGCGUCGGCAAUUUUUGCAAGCUCUUUCGGGAG